RNAcentral lists this ribosomal RNA (477 nucleotides) under uncultured soil bacterium. RNAcentral describes it as "bacterial SSU rRNA". It matches the Rfam family "Bacterial small subunit ribosomal RNA", at positions 26 to 518 of the family's 1533-position model. The record is from RNAcentral.
AGGACGAACGCUAGCGGCGUGCCUAAGGUAUGCAAGUCGAACGGGGAAGCAAUUCCUAGUGGCGAACGGUCGAGUAACACGUAGACAACCUGCCUCCCAGCGGGGGGAUACCAGCGGGAAGCCGCUGCUAAUACCGCAUUCGAUCCGGAAGGGUAGCCUUCUGGGAUGAAAGCCGCUUGCGGCACUGGGAGAUGGGUCUGCGGCCUAUCAGCUCGUUGGUGGGGUAACGGCCCACCAAGGCGACGACGGGUAGCUGGUCUGAGAGGAUGAUCAGCCGGACGGGGACUGAGACACGGCCCCGACUCCUUCGGGAGGCAGCAAUGAGGAAUCUUGCGCAAUGGGGGCAACCCUGACGCAGCGACGCGCGUGGGUGAGGAAGUCCGUUCGGAUAGUAAAGCCCUUUUCGUGGGGGACGAGGAACCGGACGGUACCCCGAGGAACGAACGCCCGGACUAACGUACGUGCCAGCGAGCCGAC